UGUUCUGCCUUCUCUGAUCCCUUUCAAAGACGCAUCUUGACAGAGGCAGUUGUCCUGAAGAGAAAGAAUACCAAGUUAAUCAAAAUGGGAACUGAAGGCCGAAGGAUAUAUGUUGGUGGAUUACCAUACAAGGCUGAUGAGCGAGACCUUAGAGAUUUGUGUAAUAAAUAUGGAAGAAUUGAAGAUGCAUUCAUUGUGUUGGACAAGUAUUCAGAUCACAGAAGAUCCAAGGGCUACGGAUUUGUCACUUUUGAAGACAAAGCUGAUGCACGGGACUGCAUUGAUGCAUUAGAUGGCACUGAUUACGAUGGCAGAAGACUCACUGUUCAAGAGGCAAGGCCAAAUAAUAACAGCAGGGGUGGUGGUGGUGGUGGAAGAAGAGACUAUGGAGGAGGAAGGAGAGAUGGUGGUAGCUACAGAGGAGGUAGUCGUGGAGGAGAUCGUGAAGAUUACGGGGGUCGUGAUCGAGGGUAUGGAGGAGGUGGUGGUGGAGGUGGAGGAGGAGGACGAAGCAGAAGGGACAGCUAUGGUGACAGGGAUCGCUACUAAGAUAAAAAUCAUGGUUUGCAAGUGAAAACACAUAAAAGCAACUGCAUUAGGGGACAAGUGGACUGCUAACACUGGGCAGACAUGGACGUUUUCAUCAGAUUUGCCAUCGUCUUGGUCCUUAUACACGUGCAACUUGGUCACUCGUCGCCAAGAAAGCCUUGUGACGCUGCACCUGAUUACUCAAGCUGUUUGCUCAAGUCAUCUUGCAAUCCUACGGACACUAACCCUUGCGGGUGUCCGCAUGCUUGCUGUGCUCCGGACACUGGAGUUGACGAGAACUAUGACGGAAGUCCCAAAGACGACCCGCUACCAUUCCUAUAUGGAUACAGAUGCUAUAAAAAGCCUCGUUGUGGCGAAGUGUGCUUCAGGGAUGCACUUUGCCCCUGCGAAGGUGGUCGUCUUUGCCUGAAGAGUCCCACGGAGCGAAAAACGCGAAGAUGCGUGUGACGAUAUUGCACAUCUGGUUCUAUGUUACCGAAGAGAUCUGAAACUUUCCAAAGUUAAUUUUAGCAAGAUUGAACAUGCAGUAACCGAAUCCUUGUAAAUCAUAUUGAAUGUAGAUAGAUUCAAAUAUUGUAAUUAAAGGCCAGCUUUUUAUGCCAAAGUUUCAGUAAUAAUGAUUUAAUAGA
This is a non-coding RNA of Rhopilema esculentum, 1178 nucleotides long. NCBI's taxonomy places the organism in Eukaryota, Metazoa, Cnidaria, Scyphozoa, Rhizostomeae, Rhizostomatidae. The record is from RefSeq and is a predicted model, not a curated record.